UGUGCCUACAAUCCGUCAGAGCCUCCUUUUGGGGUGAUGGCGUGCCUUUUGAAGAAUGAGCCUGCGAGUCAGGGACACGUCGCAAGGUUAACCCGUGUGGGGUAGCCGCAGCGAAAGCGAGUCUGAAUAGGGCGUUUCAGUGGCGUGUUCUGGACCCGAAGCGGAGUGAUCUACCCAUGGCCAGGGUGAAGCGCGGGUAAGACCGCGUGGAGG
Molecule: ribosomal RNA, 213 nt
Filed under: Mycobacterium malmoense
Lineage: Bacteria; Bacillati; Actinomycetota; Actinomycetes; Mycobacteriales; Mycobacteriaceae
Description: partial 23S rRNA
Rfam family: Bacterial large subunit ribosomal RNA
Source: RNAcentral